This 375-nucleotide ribosomal RNA is filed under the name uncultured bacterium. Its description in RNAcentral is "bacterial SSU rRNA". It matches the Rfam family "Bacterial small subunit ribosomal RNA", at positions 523 to 898 of the family's 1533-position model. The record is from RNAcentral.
AUACGUAGGGGGCAAGCGUUGUCCGGAAUUACUGGGCGUAAAGGGUGCGUAGGCGGAUAUGCAAGUCCGAUGUGAAAUGCUUCGGCUUAACCGGGGAGUUGCAUUGGAAACUGUAUAUCUAGAGUGCAGGAGAGGGAAGCGGAAUUCCUAGUGUAGCGGUGAAAUGCGUAGAUAUUAGGAGGAACACCAGUGGCGAAGGCGGCUUCCUGGACUGCAACUGACGCUGAGGCACGAACGCUGGGUUAGCGAACCGGAUUAGAUACCCUGGUAGUCCCGGCCGUAAACGAUGGGUACUAGGUGUUGUCACUUCAUUGUGGCAGUGCCGGAGUUAACGCAAUAAGUACCCCGCCUGGGGAGUACGGCCGCAAGGCUGAA